RNAcentral lists this unclassified non-coding RNA (391 nucleotides) under soil metagenome. RNAcentral describes it as "partial contains 5.8S ribosomal RNA, internal transcribed spacer 2, and large subunit ribosomal RNA". The stretch from base 1 to 122 matches the Rfam family "5.8S ribosomal RNA", at positions 35 to 154 of the family's 154-position model. The record is from RNAcentral.
GAUGAAGAACGUAGCGAAAUGCGAUACUUGGUGUGAAUUGCAGAAUCCCGUGAACCAUCGAGUCUUUGAACGCAAGUUGCGCCCGAAGCCAUUAGGCCGAGGGCACGCCUGCCUGGGCGUCACACGUCGUUGCCCCCCCAUCUACUCCUUCGGGAUUGCGGGGGGCGAAUGAUGGCCUCCCGUGCGCCUCGUCGCGCGGUUGGCAUAAAUGCCAAGUCCUCGGCGACGCACGCCACGACAAUCGGUGGUUGCGAAACCUCGGUUGCCCGUCGUGUGCGGUCGUCGCGCAUCGAGGGCUCGAAAAAAUUGUCGGGCUCCGGCUCGGCUUUCAACGCGACCCCAGGUCAGGCGGGGUUACCCGCUGAAUUUAAGCAUAUCAAUAAGCGGAGGA